This 32219-nucleotide long non-coding RNA is filed under the name Lathyrus oleraceus (garden pea). RNAcentral's name for it is "Pisum sativum (pea) long non-coding RNA (PSAT_LNC041886)". Lineage: Eukaryota; Viridiplantae; Streptophyta; Magnoliopsida; Fabales; Fabaceae. The record is from RNAcentral.
CUGAGAAAAUUCUGGAGGAAACAGUCCUAGAAGAAGAUAUCCCCACAAGUGAUCAUGAAAUGCAAACUAUGGCAGAAUUCGAUGCUACAGUGGGUGAAGCUUCUGAAGAUGAAUCUCCUUCUCCUACAGGAUUAGAUGCUGCAGCUCAGGGUGAUGAUACUGACAUGGAAGCUGGGGUCGAAGACGAUCAUGAAAACGAAGCUGCCAAAGAUGGGGGUAACCAGUCGAAACACGCAAAGGCUGAGCAAAUUUUAGAGCGAAACACUCCACCUGCUCCUGCCCAGACCCAAGGGAGUGGCAAAUCAACUGGUUCGACUAGUUUCUCUCACGAGGAGCUUGAAAAUCUCAAAGUGCAGAGACCUUUAGAGUAUCUGAAGGCCAUGCUUAGCGCCCGUUUUAAUUUCCAGGAUUCUUCGCAGAGCAGUUCGACCACAUCUGGGGCAACUUCUGAAGCACCAUCACUUGGCAACAUCUUGACCAAAAUUAAAACGAAAAUCCUUGAUGUUGAUUUGUUCAAAAUUUUGGAAGAGAACUCUCUUGCUCACCUUGAACUUAAGAAAAUUUUAAAGCAGGUGAAUGUCUUGGAAGCUUCUGCCGAGGUUGGAAGUUUUGUGAUGGAGCUGAUGACCCUUAUUGACUUGGCCACUGCAGAUCUUCAUCGUCAAAGAGAUCUUACCAAUCAAAUCUCCUCAAAGUCUGAAACUCAAACUACUGAAUGGGAUGCUGUUUCGACUUCGACUGACAAAGUUUCAAAGUUGCAAAAGCUUUCUGAAACUUAUGUCAAAGAGGUUGCUGCUUGUGAUGACAAUAUCCAAAAAUGGGAGAAACAGAUAGCAACACUUCAAGAAAAGAUCUCUCAAGAGAAAAAACGUAAGGCAUCCAUACAGCAACCCAAGCAGAGCGAGAUUGACGAAGAAUUGAGAUUGGGUAUUCGACAUGCUGAGAAGGCCCAGCAACUUAGUCAAGAGAUUGAGACUCUUUCUACUCACAAAAGUCUUUGUGAUCAUCGACUCCAGUUUCAGAGGCAGAAAUUCGCCACUUUGAAGGAAACUUUUGCCAGUAUUAAUUUGUAGUCGAAUUGAUUUAACAAUUCUCAGCCCUUUGAGGCUUUUUGUAAUGACUUUAAUGCCAUUUUUAUUUGGCAAAUCUUAUCACAAUUAUGUUUGCAAUUAUUCUAUCAUUAUUUUUACUUCCUACAAUAUUGGCUUAUAUUUUUUCAAAUACUUGCCAUUUAUCUUUAGGAUUCUCUCAUCCUUCCCUAUUUCUUCAAUCUCAUACGCGCCAUUUGAAAAUAUUUUCAAAAUCUGGAAAGGUCCUUCCCACUUAGGAGACCAUUUUCCCAUUAACUUAUCUUUUCGAUCCAUAGGAAGGAUUACUUUCCAAACGAGAUCACCAAUUAAGAAGGUCUUGAAUUUUACUCUCUUAUUGUAAGACUUUUCGACUCUUUCUUUUUGUCUUCUUAUUAGAUCUAGCGCACGUAGUCUUUCUUCGUCCAGAUCAACUAAUUCGUCCAUCAUCAUACUCCAAUAUAUAUCUGAUGGGAUUUCAUGAUGCCUUUGCACUCUAACUGACUGCAAAUAUAUUUCGACUGGUAAAACUGCAUCAUGUCCGUAAGUCAACUUAAAUGGAGUCGAAUUCGUUGCUUCUUUAGGAGACGUUCGACAAGCCCACAAGACUUGAUCUAAAGUCUUAUGCCAGUUUCUAGGUUUUUUCCCUACAUGCUUCUUGAUCAAAUUUAUCACUACCUUGUUGGCUGCUUCAACCUGCCCAUUGGCUUGAGCAUAGUAAGGUGUCGAAGUAAGGAGUUUAAGACCUGUUUCUUGUGCAAAUUUCUGCAUGUUUUUACCAGUGAACACAGAUCCUUGAUCUGUUGUUAUUGUCUCAGGUAUCCCAAAUCUGUAAAUUAUGUAUUUUUGGAUAAAGUCUAUGACUGCUUCUUGAUCCACAUUUACCAAUGAUAUAGCUUCAAUCCAUUUAGUGAAAUAGUCUAUCCCAACCAAAAUGUACCUUUGUCCUUUUGAAGAGGCUGGUCGAAUUUCCCCAAUCAAGUCUAAAGCCCAUCCUCUAAAUGGCCAAGGCUUUAUAAUUGAAUGCAGCUCACUUGCAGGAACAUGAGGUAUGCCCGCAUGUACUUGACACUCCUGACAUCCUUUUGCAAAUUCGACACAAUCUUUCAGCAUUGUUGGCCAAUACAUUCCUUGUCGAAAUAAUAACCACUUCAUUUUGUGACCUGCUUGGUGUGCGCCACACGCUCCACUGUGUACAUUCGACAAGGCUAUGUAGGCUUCGUCUUCACCUAAGCAUUUCAACAAGACUCCUUCUGCAGUCUUUUUGAACAAUUCAUUUCCCAAAAGUACAUAACUCAAAGCUCUGUAUUUUAUCUUUCUUUCUGCUUUCUGAUUUGGGUCUUGUAGAUAAUUCUUGAUAGGCUUUCUCCAGUCUGUAAUUCCUGAAUCAUCUAUGUUGAAUAUCUCAAAGUUUUCUUCGUCACCGUAUCCUAAUCUUAUUGACUCUAGAUCUGAUGGGGACAACUUGGUGGAUACGACUCUUCCUCUGACUUCAAUGGCUUCUUCUAACUUUUCCUUCGACACUUUAUAUCCAGAUGCUAGUUGAGCAAGAUCGUUCGCUUCUUGAUUCUCCAACCUGGGAAUGUGUCUGAAGACCACAUUGUCGAACUCCUUGAGAAGUCUAUUGGCUAUUACAAAGUACAUGAUUAAAUUUUCUUUCACGCAUUUAUACUCUUUAGUCAACUGCUUUAUCACCAGUUCGGAGUCGCCCAUUAUUUCGACUCUUGUUGCCCCCAAUUUCAACAAGAUUUCAAGUCCAGCGAUCAAAGCUUCAUAUUCUGCUUCAUUAUUUGAACACAGACUUUCAACUUUGUACUUGAAUUUUGUUGGAAUUCUGUCAGGAGAAAUAAUCAACAUCCCAACGCCAGUUCCAUUUUUAUGACUGGAACCGUCGAAAUACAGUUUCCAAGGUUCUAAUUUGACAUAUUCCACAUCUUCGUUUAUAGAGUGGUCGGCUAUGAAAUCAGCGACCACUUGUCCUUUCACAGCUUUUAAAGGCAGAUAUUUCAAGGAGUAUUCCGUUAAUGCUAAAGCCCAUUUUCCAAUUCGACUAUGUAAAAUAGAUUUAGAUAACAUAUACUUUAUUACGUCGAAAUGGGAGGAAAUAUAUACAUCAACAGGUUUUAUGUAAUGCUUCAAUUUCAUACAAGAGAAGUAUACACAUAGACAUAGCUUUUCUAUAAUACUAUAUCUAGUUUCAGCAUCGUUCAGGACUCUACUGAGAUAAUAAAUGGCUCUUUCGACGCCAUUCUCAUCUUCUUGACACAACAUACUUCCUAAUGUUUUGUCUGAUGCCAAAAUGUACAAUCUCAUACUUCUUUUUCUGCAAGGAGACAUCAGGAUUGGGGGACUAGCCAGGUAUUCCUUGAUUUUGUCAAAGGCCGCUUGUUGUUCUUGCCCCCAUGCGAAGUCUUCCUUCUUUAGUCGAAGUAGAGGAGAGAAAGCUUGUGUCUUCCCACUGAGAUUGGAGAUGAAUCUUCUGAGAAAGUUGAUUUUCCCUAGCAGAGACUGCAACCCCUUUUUGGUUGAUGGCGCUUUCGCNNNNNNNNNNNNNNNNNNNNNNNNNNNNNNNNNNNNNNNNNNNNNNNNNNNNNNNNNNNNNNNNNNNNNNNNNNNNNNNNNNNNNNNNNNNNNNNNNNNNNNNNNNNNNNNNNNNNNNNNNNNNNNNNNNNNNNNNNNNNNNNNNNNNNNNNNNNNNNNNNNNNNNNNNNNNNNNNNNNNNNNNNNNNNNNNNNNNNNNNNNNNNNNNNNNNNNNNNNNNNNNNNNNNNNNNNNNNNNNNNNNNNNNNNNNNNNNNNNNNNNNNNNNNNNNNNNNNNNNNNNNNNNNNNNNNNNNNNNNNNNNNNNNNNNNNNNNNNNNNNNNNNNNNNNNNNNNNNNNNNNNNNNNNNNNNNNNNNNNNNNNNNNNNNNNNNNNNNNNNNNNNNNNNNNNNNNNNNNNNNNNNNNNNNNNNNNNNNNNNNNNNNNNNNNNNNNNNNNNNNNNNNNNNNNNNNNNNNNNNNNNNNNNNNNNNNNNNNNNNNNNNNNNNNNNNNNNNNNNNNNNNNNNNNNNNNNNNNNNNNNNNNNNNNNNNNNNNNNNNNNNNNNNNNNNNNNNNNNNNNNNNNNNNNNNNNNNNNNNNNNNNNNNNCGUCUUCGACCUCCAUAACUCUAUCAUAGUCUCUAGGGAGAACAGAGACCACGUUGCAGAUCACAUUGAAGGAUGCUUCUGAGUCAAAUUCGAAGUUGUCAGUUAUUUCGUCAUCUUCCUGCAUCUUCUCUUUCGACGUCACGGGUUCGACAAUGCUGCCAGGAUUGAUCUGGAGGGAGGCCUCUUUUCUUCUCCUUAUCUGACGAUUGUUACUAGACUCCGCUUUAUCUUUGCUGUCAGUGUCUUUUUCAUUCACGCUCUUUUCUGCAGCCUCUUUUUCUGCCCUCUUCUGUCUCUGGAAUAUCCUCCAUUGGGAUCUGGACAUGGGGUUUUUGCCUUUGUAAUUCUCUGAAGGAUAUGGUCUUGGCUUGUGCUUUUCCAUUUCCUUCUUGCCUUCCAUCGAAGCGCCUCUCUGAACCUCAAACUUUCCCCAUUUUUUCUGCCCCUGGGCAUCUCUAAUGGGUUGAACCCAUUUGUCAUCCGUUGCUUUGCCAGAUGGUUUAUAGGUGUUCUGGCGUCUUUCUCCAUGCCUCCACUGGUGGUGAUCACUUCUCCUUGGGUCAUAUCUUACUGUUUCCCAAUUCUCUUUCCUCUUGGCUUUAUCCAUUGCCUCCAGGUUGGUUGCUGCCUUCCUGUCAAAAAUCGCACUACAGCGUGGGUACAUCAUUACUUCGGUUUUCAUCCUUUGGCACCUCUUGAUGAAUUCUAUUAGAUUUUCCUCCUCUUUAGGAUACGCCAGCCUCUGGUGCUCCUUUCGACGAUGAUCUCGCCCACUUCGGCCUGGUCCCUCUGAAAUAUUUCCACCAUGUUUACCCUAACAUUUCGUUCGUCAGCGAUGCUUAAUUCGUUCAUCUUUCUAAUGAGUCUCUCCUCUUCGCCUUCGACGCCUUCUGGUGUUUGGUCGAACUCUUUCUCUGGGCAGCAACACCAAGAUAUGUUCUUGGGACCAUGUUUGCAACAAUAUUUGUUCCAAUUCCUUUUGGGGUCUUCCAUCACCCUACGCAGAAUUCCACUGACCACGGGCUUCAAAGGACCAUUAACAGCUUCCGCUUUGAUUUUUGUGAGUUCUUCACUGAAAGGCCCCAUAGUGUUGACGCAGUUUGCGACAUCACUUGUCCUUGUUUGAUCAAGAUCAAGGCCUUCAGUAGCCUUGUUUUCAAUAAUGAGGUCUUCAGUAACCUUCUUUUUCGUAAUAGGGGAAUGCUCAAUUGCCUCAACUGUUUCUUCAUUUUUGACUGAAGAAACAUCUCCCCAACCGCUUGGUUGGAUUGUGUUGAUGUCGAUCUGAGAGCUUGCCGGCGCAUUGUACUUCACAAGAUAAUCAUACUUCCCACUUGGCUGUCCCAAGCGGUCCCAAUUUCCCUCUUGUCGAAACUUCGCAUCUUCGACGGUAUCGUCACCGUCCCUUUUGUCGAAACCUUUAGUAGUUUCCAUCCUUUUCUGGUUGUCGAAGCCUUUCAGUAACUUUCAACUUCGUUCUGGUUUGUGAGAUUCAUAGUAAUCUCAACCAUGUUGAUGUUUGUGUCGAAACUUCCAGGGGCCUCCACCCUUUCAAUUGCAUUAGGAGCAAACUUCGAUUCCCACCAUGUUCACGAUGGAUGGUUCAGCGUAGUGGGCUUUCGACUGGCUGCAUGGGAUUCGAAUCGAUCCUCAUCUGUGUUUCGGCUUGUCACCAAAACUUUAGCCUUCCGUCACGGAUAGCAUUUGAACGAGAUCCAUGAAAAGGAACAACGAGACGUUUUAUGGCCUUAGAAAUUAUGUAUUUACAAAACCUCUCUUUUUCUGUUGUUCCAUAGGCGCGUUCUUAGCGCCUGGAGGUUUUUUAAAUUGACCAUCUUUAACCAACAGAUCGAAAUUCGUUCGCAUUUUGUGAUGUCGAACGUAUAAGUCCUUUUGGGGAACUUAUCGUUGGUUUCGACUGGGUUUCUGUUCCGACGGAGUUAGCACUUUUGCACGAAUAAGGUGGGCCUUGCUUCAGUUCUGCUAUGUCAAUCUCUUGUUCGUCGAAGUUUAUUUGGUUCGUUUCGUCGUACUCAUCAUUCUUGCGCGAACCCCUACGUAGGCCACCCUUUCUUUUUAUUCUUUAUUUGCUCUGAAUUUUUCGUCCUUAACCUUUCGACCUGUCUCACUCUAUCUGCUAAUUUGUGCCAUAUCCCUCAGAUACUGGGUAUCUAGUUUCUUCCUUAUAGAAUAAUCUAGUCCCCCUGCUGGCCAUUUCGACCAACUCAUGUUCUGGGCACCGGGUGAAACAUCUAGCCUUUAGCAAUCUGAACCUAUUUAAAAUAAUCAUCUAUUGGUUCUGAGUGUUUUUCUCUUAACACUGGCUAAUUCUUUCAGACUUAUUUUUGUUUGUCCCAUGUAGAAUUGUCCACGUAUAUUACUGAGUUUGCAGGCAAAAGAUGUAAACCAAGUAAACGCGUUUUUUGUUUAAGAACUAGGGAAUAUUUUAUUUUCAAAUUUUCAUUACGGGCUAUUUCCCCUGCUUCGAUCAGAUAACGUGCUACGUGUUCUAUUGUGGACUCGCUAGUAUCCCUGAGAACUUUUGUAACUUAGGAACUUUCCACCUUGGUGGCAGUUCUUCUUGUAGAAUAUAUUCUGACAGUGGGGAAGCAUAACUAGGCUUUGUAAUCCCAUGUUCAUCCCAUUCUGUGCCAUUACCGUUUCGACCAUGGCGCUAAAUUAUUUUCGAACAGGAGGGUUAUUUAUACCGGAUCCGCUGUUGCAACACAGCAUCCGCGUCCUGGCUCUGGAUUACUAUCCUUCUAGGUUCUUGUGAAAUAGGGACUUCGACACGAGGCUGUUCGACUACAUCCUCUUGGUUUCUGACGUUUGUUGAGGAUUGUCUAAAGGCAUUUGGUUUAUCGUAGCUUCUUCCUGGACCGCCUACCACUGGGUUCUGAACCAUUGUUCUCUGUGUUGAGUUUGAGGGACCCCGAAAAAGUCAGCAAUGCGCGUCAUCUGCGCUGCCAACAAUUGGUUUGUUUGGGUGGUGUUUUGAAUUAGAGGAUUAAACACCGCUCCCAUUUGUUGUGUCAACAUUUGGACCAUAUCAUGAUUACUCUCGUCCAUCUGUUGUCUAAUCACCUGCGCCGAAUUAUUUGUUAUCGGCGGCAUGUAAAGUGGUUGUUGAUUUAGUCUACUCAUGUUUCCGCCAUAUCCUGACCCUUCUAAUGGUGAAGACAUAUUGGCCAUAGAAUCAGAAUACACUACCGGGGAAUUGUGUAGAUUUGCCAUUACUGAAGUUGGCAUUCCAAAUGGUUGUUCCCUACCAGGAAGAGGCAUGGUGAAAUUCGUCACAAAAGGCCUAGAAGUGUUUCCCAUAGGAGGGGGUGUCCCAACAGGCAUUUGUUGCGCCCUAACGGACGAACUAGGCGCAUUUUGCAAAAUUGAAACCGCUGGUAUUGACCCUGUUGACGAAGGCAUAGCCUCUGACACAGGGACUGAUCCUACAUUGCCUCUCGUCGAAAGGAUAGGGUUGGAUACUGGUAUGGCUUCACUUGGAUUAGGAUUAUUUGGAUUAUUUGGCUGAUUUGCCAUUUUCCUUACUCUUGUUCUUUUAGGUAUUUCUACGUCGGAUACGGCUAAUUUUCCGCUUCUCAGUCUCAUACAACGAAAAAAAAAACUUUGACUAACGAUUAUCUAAGUUUUAGAUUUCUGCACUGUCCCACUAGGCGUGCCAAUUUGUUCGCUGUGAAUUUUGGCGAACAACCUCUGGUUUACCAAAACUUGUAGAACUGGGUUACUUGCAGGAUCAACCACACAAAUCCUAGGACAUGUGCAGAUCUAAAUGACUUUGAAGAUAUCUAGAACAACUUUCAUAUCUUUCAUUUUGGUUCUCAAAAUAUUUUAUGUCGAAAGAUGUUGAUUAAACGUUCAAACAGAUGUAAAUUUGACAAGAUAAGAUGAAUGGCAGAAAAUAACUAACGAAAUAUAAAGUGUCGAACAGAAAGUGCAGAAAGAUAAUUGACUGGAAAACGUAAAAGGAAUUUGUACAGAACUUUAAACUUUAUAAAAUAAACUUUGAAGGAGUUGGUGUUUGUUUACACAUACAUGUUCCAAAUAUGACUCUUUUCUCUCACACGGGUACUUUGAGUAUUAUCAGGAAUUUUGUACAAGUAAAUUUUCACACCUUUUUUCGAUAACAACUACCCUAUUUAUAUACAAAUAACAUAACUGUUACUAACGACCAAAUCCUAAAACUGUGACAAAUGGCUUUCUUCUUUUCGCCAGAUGCUUCCACGCGUAUACUAACGACCAAAUCCUAAAACUGUGACAAAUGGCUUUCUUCUUUUCGCCAGAUGCUUCCACGCGUCUUCUGCCAAACGUCACAACUCUUCUGAAUUUGAAUAUUUACACUUUACGUCGAAAUGACAUCUCUCUCCAGACUUUGUCGAAUUGUCGAAAUACUACAACAUCCUCCAUGUCUGUCAAAGGUGCCUUUCCAUCUGCAUAGAUCUUGUCGAAAUGUCGAAGCUUCAAUUUUGUCGAAGUGUCGAACAACACUUAUCAACUAAAACCGUUUAUCCCAUGUCAUCAUUUUUCGAAAGAACCAUUCUGCAUACCAAAUCUCAUGGCGUCGAAAACGCAUGUAUACACUUACUCGCUUAAUAUUAUUCAUCAUUUACUUUAUUGCCUUGUGUUUUUGCAUGUUCUAUUAUACUGGAUAUCUAUAUAUGUUGUUUUUGGGUUGGGGUUGAUACUACAUGAGUGAAGCUCUAUACCCGAGCUUAGUAUACACACAUGAUAGAUUCGUGGAUAGUCAUGUACAAUUGCGUUUCACGCGUUGGAUUGUCUCGAGAGCCAAAACCAGACUAGAUUCACUUGGAAGUACUUUUGUCCUGUGAGAAUUCACUACGGCAUGGUAUUUUCAUUUCGAGUCGAUGACUCUGGGAGACCUUCUAGGGACCACCUUGGAGGAUAGUCCAUACCUGUGGGGGGGAUAUAUGUUUUUUUAUAGGAAACCAUAGACUCUACAUACCUUGGUUCUCAUAUUGUGUUGAACCUUUGAACUUACAACAAACAGCAUAUACAGAUUAUUCAGAAUGUAUCAGAACUUUGAAUCCGUGUGAUCUAUAUCAUACCAUUAUCCAUUAUCAUUCAUCAUGACAAUUUUUUUACAUAUGCCUUUUUUUCAUGAAUCCAAGAGCCCAGUUUAUUGACUAAGCAUCCAAGACAAAGCAUGACUUCCGAAAGAAAGACCAUUCACAGUUAAAAGCUCGUGGAGCCAUAGUUGAAUGUUUUGAGAGGAUUGGGGGCACGUCUAGUUCUUGGGAACAGAGAUGAAUUCAAGAACUCUUAUGGCAACCUCCUAGGAAUUUUGAAUACUGAAGUCAGUACCAAGGUUGUGCACACCCUUGUGCAAUUCUAUGACCCUCUGCUGAGAUAUUUUACCUUUCAGGACUAUUAGUUAACACCUACUUUGGAGGAGUACUCUCAUAUUUUGGGUAUUGGGAUUAAGAAUCAAGUUCUUUAUGUCUGCACUAAGGAGCUCCCUAAGUACCAUAUCCUCGUUGAAACCCUUCACAUAGGGAAGAAGGAAGUGGAGUUGAACCUAGAGCUUAAAGGUGGAAUCCAUGGUUUUACCUCAAAGUUUCUUGUGGAUAAGGAUAUUACCUUCACCGAUGCAGAGAGUUGGACGGAUUUCAAUUCCAUUCCAGGUCUACUUAUCUAUGGCGUAUUGUUUCCAAAUAUGGAAGAAUUUAUGGACUUCGCUACUAUCCAUAUCUUCCUAACUCAGAAUCUUGUUUCCAUUAAUCUUGCUGACACUUACUACUUCAUUCAUGUAAGGACUCAGAAGAAGAAGGGAACCAUCAUUUUCUAUAUCCCUUUGUUGUAUAGAUGGUUUAUUUUGCAUCUACCUAGCAAGGGCUCUUUCUUGGAGAACAAAGACAAUCUGAAGUGGUCCCAAAGGAUCAUGUCCUUAAACACCGAAGAUAUUUCCUGGUACUCUAGAGUUUAUGAUAAUGUCAAACUCAUCCUUAAUUGUGGUGACUUCCCUAAUGUACCUCUUCUUGGUACAAAAGGAGGAAUCAACUACAACCUGAGAUUGGCAUUACAAAGUUGGAAUACUCCAUGGUAGACAAGCCUGAUUCCAAGACUGUAGAAGGUUUAAUUUUACAUGAAGGGGUUAAUAACCUGUAGCUACUUAAGAAGAUUAUCAAGGCUUGAGGAGAGAUAUAUCCUCAAAGAAGAGAAGAAAUGGGUAAGAAGAGCUGCAUAGCCAGGGAAGCUUAUACCAAAUGGGUGAAAGACAGAGUCAAAGAGAUAUUGCUGCCAUUUCUAUCAGAACAAUCUAUCAGCAUCAAGCCUCAUGAACCUAUGAUUAAUCAUAUCUCUAAGGUCUAUGAGCUGAAGGGAAUUAUCAUGGCACUAGAGAAAGAGAAUGCGGAUCUCAAAUCUAGUCUUGGUAAGAUGUCAUUGGAUAAGGAGACCUUAAAGUUCAACCUGAAUCAGAAGAGAGAUAGAACACUUCAAGCAGAAAAUGGGGUGCAAGCUAAGUUGCACAAAAGAAGAAAAGUGGAUGAAGCACUAAAAGGAACUUGUGCUAGUUUGUUAGCAAAAAAGAAUAAGCUAGAAGAAAUUCAAUAUUAGGCUUGUAAAGUGGAUCUUAACUACAAAAAGAAAAUCAAGAAACUUCAAGACUAACUGGAAGCUUGCAAGAAAGGGUUGAAAGAUGAACAAAGUCGUGUCAAACAACUAGAGGUUACUCUUCAUCAGUGCUAGAGUGAGUUAGAUAAGAGGUUUGAAGAGAUUCGCGGGCUAAAGGAUCAAGCACACAAAAAUAUGGAGAGCACUAACCUACUCAAAUAAGAGAAUGCUAGUUGGGAAAGAUACAAUGGACACCUUCAAAGGCUCCUAGACUAGAAGGAGACAUUUUUGAGAGAUCUUCUAGAUGGACCUGAUCACACUUUGCUGCACAACCUUCUUAAGGACGCGGAAUAUUGGAGGGAAAGGCAUGCAUGCCUAACCCAAUUUGCUGAACAUGCCAUGGAAGACUUACCAGAAUUGUUGAAAGAAGCUUUUGUUGUAGUAUUUCCGCAUAACGUCCCUUGGGUUGUAUUUCAUUUCAUUUCUGUUUGUAGGGUGGUAUUUGAUAGGUUUAAAGUUGAGCUUAUUGUAGCCUGUCAGGCAGGCUCUUGAUGUGUAUUUGUACUCCACUUUCUGAUAUUGAAUAAAAGAGUCUCUCUCUUUAUGCUUUAUGUCUAUUUAUGUUGAUAAACAAAACUCAAGGAUUCCUUGGAAUUUUUUCUUUACAAAAAUGAAUAUAUAUGCACAUGUCAAAACUUUUUGCAUGCAUUUAUUUGCUUAAGCCUCCAGAGAACAAAAUGCUUACUCUCUCCAUCUUUCUAUAGCAACUACGAUGACUCGUCAUCGCUAUUAUACUCGUGCAAAAAAAUCCAAAUGCGUGGCUGAUUUUGAAAUCGACAAUGUUGUUGUUAAGGAAACCUUGGCUCAGGUCCAAGUAGAGAUGAACCUCUUCCGAGGUAAUAUGGUGACCAUUAUGGAAUACCUCCAAACUCAUUGGGCUUCUAUCUUUGCCAACCCUGCUUCCAUUUUCGUCACCAGUGUUGUUGUGGUGACCACUAUUGGUGAUGUCGUUGCCACUAUCAAAACUCAUGUGGAGACGGUGGUACCAACUACUGUGAAUCAGCCUUUGUUUACUUAUGCUUCUAAUAGGCUUGUUGUUGCCUGCCCAUGGGGAAUGCCCCCAAACUUCACUGCUCAUUUUGCUAAUGGGGGUGCCUUUAUUCCUCAUUUAGCUUUUAUCGCUCGUACUGCUGCUGGGAAUUUUGUUUUCCCAUGGGGUGUGCCUAUGGUCCAGACUCCUCAAACGAUUGAUGCUGCCAACUCUAAGAACCACCAAGGUCAGGUUUUGACAAUGAAGUAGAGUACUGAGGCCCCCGCCUCUAUUUUCAUAUUCCUUCCCAGGAAGUUUAUCUUGCAAAUCUGAAUCACUUACAAGCUGCUCUGUUUGCUUACUCUGGGGAAACUUUUGUUCUGAUACUAUCAUAUGCAUCUGCCAACCCUGCACUCAUGUACGUGCAGGCUAGGGAACCUCAGGCCCCUAAUGCUCAAGAUGGAUGGUAGUUCCUUCAUAUGAUGCACGAUGCUUCCCAAAUAGUGCUUCCCAGUUUCUCUUAUCCACUGCAGAUGUUGUUUACUCCCCAAAUUGUGCAUGCUCAGGAGUUUGCUCAAGACACCUCCCGACCAGCCAGCCAGGUCGUCGUUCCUACUGCUAGUCUGUCAGGCCGGCAGACUACCAAUUAUUGGAUGAUAGAAGAAUGGUUAUCGAAGGUUUCUAUGCCUUCGGCAUAAACGCAAGAGAUUUAUGCUUGGUUCCAAAUGUGGUACUCCCUCAUAAGUUCAAAGUACCAGAUUUACCAAUAUAUAAUGGAUUAAGUUAUCCUCGAAGCCACAUUACAAUGUAUUGCAGGAAAAUGGCAUCGUAUGUUGACAAUGAUGAUCUGCUAAUCCACUGUUUCCAAGAUAGUCUGUCAGGGGCUUCCUUGGACUAGUACAUGGUCUUAGAGCGUACAAAGAUUAGAUCCUAGAGAGAUUUAUCUGAAGCGUUCUUAAAGCAGUAUAAGUACAACCUCGAUAUGACACCGACAAGAUUGCAGCUACAUAAUCAGUCACAGAGGUCCAACAAGACUUUCAAAGAGUAUGCUCAAUUUUAGCGUGAAAUGGCUUAUAGGGUCAGAUCAACUUUGUCGGACAAUGAACUUGUUGACAUCUUCAUUGGUACGCUUCAAGGGUUGUACUUUGAGAAAAUGAUUGUCCAUUCUUCCACCAACUUCCCAGACAUUGUGACCAUUAGUGAACGUGUCGAAAAUGGGGUUAAAUCGGGAAAGAUCGUAGGUACCAUCGCUCAGCAAACCACAAAUAAGAAGUUGUAUGAGGGCUUUACAAAAAAGAAAGAAGGGGAGAUAAAUGUUUUAACGGUAAAUGUCCACACCCAAUAUCAAUUUCCUAUGGCUCCCAUGCCAUAUUAUCCAUACCCGUAUGUUUCCGCCACUCAGUAUCAACAACUUCCGCGUCAGUACCAACCAUAGAAUCGCAAUCAACAAACAACACCGAAUCAGAAUGCUUAGAAUCAAUAGAACACUUGUGACAAUAAGGGCCAAGGUCAAGGCCGAAAUAACAGGAAUAAUUAUGGUAAACAUCCUGAUUUUGAUCAGAUCCCUGUACCAUAUGCUGAAUUGGUGUCAUAUCUGAUCCAUGUAGGGGCUAUUAUGCCAAGGGAAAUCCCACCAUCCAUUCCUCCUUAUCAUCCAAGGCCUAAUUAUAAUGCCUUGUGCGCCUUCCAUGUUGGGUAUGUAGGACACUCCACUGAAGAUUGUUGGCCGCUCAAAAAUAAAAUCCAAUAGUUAAUUAACCAGAAGGUUUUGUCUUUCUCAGAAUAAAAUCCUAAUGUGAAAAGAAACCCCUUUCUUAAUCACGGUGACCCAGCAGUCAGUGUUGUAAUUGAAGAAGAGAUUGCAGAAUCCGUCAAGACAGUUGAUGGUGUGAAGACUCUGAUGUCGGUAGUGUUAAAAAAUCUUGAAAAUUUUGAGUUUCUGGUUGGUAUUCAUGAAGAUUUUGUUGUGUGUAAAAUCUGAUCUGGAUAGUUAUGGCAAUCUGAAGGGCUGUGUGCAAGAGUUGAUGAAUCAAAGGUUGAUAUAGUUCUCCAGAUCUAAAGUAGUUGAAGAGAUUGAAGUGAUUGAGCCUAUAACCAUUGUGUACAGGAAGAAGAAGAACGAAGCUCCUCCCAAGAGCAUUCAAUUGAUCCAUAUAUGUGUUCCUAGUCCAUUCUCGUAUCAGAAUAUCAAGGCAGUACCUUGGAAGUAUGAAACGACUGCAUAUGUGGGUGGAAAAGAAAUUAAAAUCUCUGACACUGAAAUUGUUAAUAUAACUAGAACGGGAGGCAUGACUCGUAGUGGUUGUGUAUUCACUCCAAAAUACACUCCUAGAGUGUCUCCAUCACCCACAGUUGUCCUGCCUAAAGAGAAGGUCCUUCUUAGUCCUCCUCUGCAGGCAGGGGCAUCUAUACCCGACAUGUUUAUCGUGACAACUGUUCCAGCAUUAACAAAGAUUAUUCCCGAUAAAGCUGCAUAAUCUAAAACUUCCAAGGGUAAGGGGCAGAUGGUUAAAGAUGAAUAGGUUGAAGGUCACAAGAAGAGUAUCUCUUUUGAGGAAGGACAAGAACUCCUCAAAUUGAUCGAGAAGAGUUUCUUCAAUAUUGUUGAUCAGUUGGGUAAGACUCCUUCCAAAAUCUCCAUUUUUUCUUUACUUCUGAGUUCUGAUGCUCACCGUAAAGCACUGUUAAAAGUCCUGAAUGAUGCUCAUGUGAUGCACGAUAUCACGGUCGAUCAAUUUGAUGACGUGUGUAAGACCCCAAUUUUGACCCUAAGAUCCCUCAUGAUAUACCAUCAUAUGCAUUGGCAUUGGGAUCACACCUUGACAUCCUCCUUCCCCCUCAUUCAUUGGGUUUGCAUUGAGAGAGAUCACCAAGCACCAUUUAAUUGUAUCAUACUUUGUAUUUUCUCAUUUUUACUAACCAAAAUACCAAAAAUAUGUCUUUGCAUAAUCUAACUCUUUUGUAGGUAGAGUACAUGCUCACCUUUGGUCUAUCAAGCUCACAUCUAGGGUUUAAGACCCUCAGUGCAAGGAGUUCAAUCAAGAAUUGGUAUACUAUGGCUCUAGGCAUCAUAUAUGGAUCCCCAUGAGAAUCACAUGUUAUUUUGAUCAAGAACUCAUCAAGAGUUUGGAAUUGUUUUGUAGUGGAAACACUAGUUCAUAUGGGUAUCUUGUGUAACUUCUUCAACAAUUGAUCAAAGAUUUCAAGGGAUACUUCAAAUUUCUUCAUAUUAUGAAUAUAUGAUUUCCCAUGAGUCCCUAAAGUUAAGAGAAUUGCAAGUUAGCAAGUUGGUUGAUGGUGGUUGACUAGAGGAAUUCAACUAAUCAAAAUUGGGGUUCCCUAGACCCUAUCUCCUACAAUAUUUGUCAUAUGAAAAUGAUUCCAAAAGAAACGUUACUGUAAGUGACAUUACAAACAACUUUCAUGUUGAGGUCUAGAGCUAGUUUUUCUUGGAAAGUCAUCUUUUAUGGUGAAAGAUUAUAGGUCAUUUUGUCUAAACCCUAAUUUGGAGGUCAACUUCCCAAGGUCAUAACUUGCUCAAUUAUUAUGAGAUGAAAGAUUUCCAAGUUUCACAAUCAAAUUCAAUAUGUCUACUUCAACUUUGAUGUUUGGAGGAAGAGCAAAUUCAACUUUUAUGAGCAUGUGAUAUGAGGAUACAUUAUAGGUCAUUUUGGACCAAUACCAUUGAACAAGUGAUUUUCCUCAACUUCAAAAAUGCAUACCUCCUUCAUAUCAAAUCCAAAUGAGGUAAAACUUAUAACCAUUUUGAAGUACUUUGAAAUAGAUACAACUUUGAUGAAGGAACUUCUCUCAUUUGAAACUCACACAAAAAGUUAGCCAAGGUGGAAUAAGUGAACAUAUGGCGUGACACUUAGAAAAAAAUUUGAUAUGUUAAAAUUUCCAAACUUCCACCUCAAAUUUCAUCAUUAUACAAGCUUCAAAUGGAUAAGUGUUCAACAUUAAAGUUGUUCCUAUUGAUCUAACCUUUCCAAAAAGUCCAAUUUCAUCCAUUUUGGACAAGAUUUGAAUGGGCUGCACAUGGCUUGAACAUUGUAUCAUCAUUUGGCAAAAUCAAACUUCAAACUUCCAUGUACAUUUGUCUUGCAUUCCAAGUUGAUUUUAGACUUGCUCACACUCAAUUAUGGAUCAAAUGGAAUGAUCUCAUGGGCAUGUACACGUCCAUGCACACAUGCAUCACUCAUUGCCAAUUUUGGAAACUCAAUUGUAAGGUGCAAAUAUCAUGUGAUUCAGCUAUAAAUAGAGGCUCAUAUGCUCAGAAUUAAGGACUCCUUCGCGCGAGCUUUGAUCCCAAACAUAAAACCCUUCCAUUUGAUAGGAUAAUCCUGACAAUUUCCUUUGGAAAUUGAGUUUGAAUCUCACUGUUUUGAGAUUCAAAACUCCAGGGAUCCAAGACCUUUUGUACAUUUUAAUCUACUUCUGCAAGCAUCCUAAGAAAUAUCAAGCACAAGCCAAAGCAAGAACAAGUGAAUCCAGACCUGCAUUGAAGGUAUUUUCCAGAAAAUUUCAUCUCUUCGAUUCUCACUCAAUUCUCCAUAAUUCUCUUGGAUCCUUGGUAGUCUGAAGUCCUAGCAAUAUAGGCAACAAGAUUGAGUUGCUUUGAGGUCAAAUUGAAGCAACUCAGAUCAUGCACCUCAAAUUUCAACUCCUUGUAUCUCUCAAUAUACUUGGAGUUGGGAUAAAUUGAGGCCAGAUUCGUGCUCAGUGCCAUUUUCACUUUAAAAUCAUGUCCUCUAUUUUUAUUUUAGUGAAGGUUAUGAUUGGACCAGUCCGGCGAGGCUCGCCUGAGAAGGAGACCGGAGAUUUGCUCUGGUGGUGAGUUAGCAAGGUCCAGAGCCACAUGAUCUGUUUGAUUUGUUCUAAUCACGAGUGUUGGUUUGAAUUACCAAGUUUGUGGCGCGCUGACUAGAGUCCACAAUGGAUUGCGCGUUUGUGGCCACUUGAUUUACCACCUCAAUUAAUGAAAUUUUUCUACAAGGUCCUUUAACCUUGUUUGACCUAUGAUAAAUCUCAUCGUCAUUUCUUUGGUGUCAAUUUAAUGCAUAUUUUAGUUGAUUUUAAUUGAAUAAAUGUCAAAUAAAUUGUGUUGAGCUUCUAUUAUUGACUUAUUGAGUUUGACUUGUGUUGUUGGGCCUUGGUCAAGGUUGAUUUUACUUUUCUAAGUUAAGAUCAUUGGAUUUAGGGGAAUGAUGAAAUGUACAUUUCAUCUCCCAAAAUGAAUGAAUGAUCUUAAUUUGGUAAAAGUCCUUGUUUUACCAAUUUGUGUUGAUUUCAUUCCCCCUCCCUCUUGAUCUCAUUACUCUUCUUUAUUCAUUCAUGUCAUGGACCUAUGAUAUCUCUAUAUCCUAAGGCUAGUUGAUUGCAAAAUCAACAUGAGUAUGGAUGAGAUUAGAUCCACCACACUUUUGCAUAUUCUUUUUGCGUGUGGUAUCUUUCGUGAGCAUAGUCCAUUAUAUUAUGUCUCUAACAUGCAUUAACACCAAACUUCUAUUGCCUGGUCUCAAAUAGUUGUGAAUUCUGCAUAAGUCCAAUUACGAUUGCUUAACAUAACGCUAAAUUUGUGACACAAAAGGCAUAGCAUUCUAGUAAGUAAGAUUGUAAGUCUCCCCUCUUUCAUGGUAUUGUAUGGAAACUUGGCCUUUUUUUCCUUCCUUUGGAAGAUGUCUUGGUUCAAGGAUCCAUGCAUGUGAAUAGUGGGUUGAGUGUUCUCCAAAGAAUGACUUAAACAAUACAAAGCAAAAGCAAUACUAACUUCUAAUCAACUAACAACUAACCUUUAAUUUCAAGCCAUUUACUUUUAUGCACUUUAAUUUCAAGCUUUAUUCAUUUGCCAUUAUUCAUACCGUUCAAUUUAUUUACUUUAAUGCCAUUUUCAAUUUUCCACUUGGGCCAUAAUUUGUGAUAUAUUGUGUUUGUAUAUACUUGUUUGUUUGUAUGGUCUUUUGACCUUAAUGUACAUAAUAAAAACAAAAACCCUAAAAGACAUUUGUGCGGACUGUUGGAUUUGAUCUGAGACAAUGGACUUAGAAUUAGGAAACACUCCCUAUGCAAAAGGACUUGUCCAAUGCCAACUUUCAUGAAACCAAGUGCUUGUGAAGUGAAUUUUCAACUGAAGCAAGUAUUGUGAUCCCAUCUGAGUUCAUCUGUUACAUGGUCUUAUUGAAGCUGUUACUUUGAACCUGUGUCUAAUGCCUACUUUUGGAAGUCAUCUGAUGCAUGGGAAAUUUUGAAGAAGAUCAUGGAGUUGCUAAGCUUGGAUGGGGCUAUCUUUAUUUGAUGCCUUGAUCUUCAUCUUUCUAUUUGUGUAUUGAUAUUGCUUGAUUCUAAAGUCCAAGGGAAAUUUGGGUUUCUAUAUGACAUUCUUGUCUAUUGGAUUGCAGCCCAUUGGUUAGAUAUUUUCAACUCUUAACUUUUAAAUUUGUGCUUAGGAUUAGUAUCUUCAUCUCUCCCCCAUUUAUUUAAUUUCAAAUCUCUCUCUACUUUCAAAAAUCUUCUUUGCUAGUGUUUGUUUUCUAAACUUAUACCAUUUUGCAAAUUAGAAACUUUGGCCUUAUGCCAUUGCAUUUUUAAAACUCUUUUCUUUGUCAAAUUUGUAAAUGAACUUAACUAUACUUGACUUAAAAUUUCAAAAGCGAAAAAGAACUAACACUCAUUCCAACCAUUUUUAGGCCUCUUGUGCCUUUGUUAAACUUAAAUUUUGUUAAAAGAAAUCCACUCACUUUGAAAUUGAUACCACAAACUACGAGGUUUUGAUCCCUCAUUUUAUGUUGGUACGUAGGCAUAAGUCUGAAGGUCUUAUCAAACACAAAAAUACAAUUAAUGAAUUAUUUUCUCAUCCCCCCACUCUAUUUAUUGCAAACAUCAUUUGGUACAAAAACACAUAUGCACACAAGAAAGGGCUCCCUAGGAGUACCUAGGACACUUUGGGUGCUAACACCUUCCCUCUGUGUAACCAACCCCCUUACCUGUAAUCUCUGGCAUUUUAUUAGUUUUGAUAGGGUGCUAACACCUUCCCUCUGUGUAACCAACCCCCUUACCUGUAAUCUCUGGCAUUUUAUUAGUUUUGAUUUGAAAAUUUCUUAUUUUUGGGUUUUGUUCGUACUUUUCCCUUUUCCCUUGGAAACGAUAAAAGCGCGAUGGCGACUCUGGUUUUAUUGACGUCUAGCUUAUCUAUAGCUUGAUGGUCAUGAAUUUACCGCCAUAGAAAUUAAGUGGCGACUCUACUGGGGAGUAGUCUCCAGUGGGUUUAGCCUACUUUUUCGUGUGUAUAUAAUUGUAUAUUUUGAUGUAUGUAUAUUUGUUUGUGUGAUAUAAUGUACUUGUUGUGCUUGGUGAUCUCUGAGUGGUGAAAUAAGUUCUAACAUGGACUUGAGUGAAAUUACGAUAAGAGGAUGGUAUAGUCAUGUUCGACUUGUGUGGAGUAGUCCUUAACAAGUUGGAUUGAGACCCAUCUACUCAGUGGAUACCCUUUUGGAGUUAUGAAUGUUACACAAGUUAUUUGUGGUUAGGCAUUACUUCCUCUGAUUUGGGGUCCGAGAAGUUGAGGACCGUAGAACAUUUAACCCAUCUUGGCCUAUUUAAGACGUAGUGCGGAGACUGUUCAAAUGUAGACUUGAUAAUAGUUGUCACGCGAUACUACACUCAGACGAGUUUCUCUUGAGAUAUUAUGGGUUGAUGAGUCAGUCAUCCUAACUUGUAAUAUCCGAUAGAUGGAAUUAAGACUCUGGGAACUUUUUAGAACAUGAUCUACAGGUUCUUAUCCUUAGUACACUCCUUUGGGAUGGUUCUUACCCAGACUCCAUGCUCGUGACUCACAACAAACCCUUUGAUUCUUGGUUGAUCCAAUCAAGUCUUGUCAAUAUCAAUGGAACUUAGGUGUUGAUAAGGCGAAAAACAUAAUCCACUAAAAUGGAUGAUUGAUCUUGACAAUGCCUUGAUUCAUCCCUUGACCUUUGUUUGGUUUCCUUGUGUGUGAUCCCUUAUUUGUGAUUGUUGCAUUCAUGCAUUCAUGCGCAUCAUAACAUUCAUCACACGAAAAAUAAUUUCAAGAAACUGAGGUCUUAUUUGUAACUAUUUUCAGACCAUGGAUUGUGGACGUAGGAACACUAAGAAGUACAGUUUUAGAAGUCCGGAUUUGAAAGAGUUAAGGAAGGUAUCAUCUUUUGUAUUAGGUCUCUUGGACUUCAAGCUACGUCAUGGGAAGCUUCUAUCUAUUUUGUGUGCUGAUGUGGUUGAAGGAAUUUUGAGUGUGUUGGUUCAGUUAUAUGACCCUCUCUACCGUUGCUUCACUUUUCCUGAUUAUCAGCUUGUGUCUACGUUGGAGGAGUAUUCCCGUCUGUUGGGAAUACUUGUUUCUGACAUAGUGCCUUUUAGUGGAUUGGAAGAGAUUCCCAGAUCUCAUCUUAUAGCUGAAGCUCUUCAUCUGAAGAAGUCUGAGAUAGAGGCUCAUUGGGUGAAGAAAGUAGGAUUAUUUGGGUUGACUUCUGAUUUCCUCAUCAAGGAAGCUACUGCCUUUGCUCAAGCCGGUAGUGUGGACGCUUUUGAAACCAUCUUUGUGCUGCUCAUCUAUGGAUUAGCUUUGUUCCCUAACAUUGACGGUUUUGUUUAUGUUAACGUCAUUAGAAUAUUCUUGAUUGGGAAUCAUGUGCCUACUCUUUUGGGUGAUAUGUACUUAUCUUUCCAUCUAAGGAAUUCUAAGGGUGGUGGAACUAUCGUCUUUGCGUUCCUCUUCUGUACAAGUGGUUUAUUUUGCACUUGUCUCAGACGCCUACUUUUGUGGAGAAUAAACAAUGUCUAAGGUGGUCUCAGAGACUUAUGUUUCUCACUAAUGAUGAUAUAGUUUGGUAUGAUUCUUCAUUGGGUAGCUUGGAGAUUAUUGACAGUUGUGGUGAAUUCUCUAAUGUACUUCUCAUUGGUACACAAGGAGGAAUCAACUAUAACUCUACUUUGGCUCGUCGUCAACUUGGAUUCCCCUUCAGAGAUAAACCUAAUAACACUUUGUUAGAAGGUCUUUUCUAUCAAGAGGGUAAAGAUCCCCAUCGUUUGAAGCAGAAUAUUAUGCAUGCUUGGCAUAAUGUGCAUAAGAAAGGAAGAUCCGAGCUUGGUCCGCGCAAUUGUGUAGCUUUGGAAGCUUACACUCUUUGGGUGAAGAAGAGAGCUUUGGAGUUGAAGAUGCCUUAUGCUUGUGAAAGACCUGUGUCUAUGGUUGUGGUUGAGCCAUUAACUCUCCCUAACCAAGAUGUAGUGGAGUUGGAAUACGCGCUCGCCAAGAUGAAGCAAGAGAAGGAUAGGUGGGAAGAUCGUUUCCAUGCUUUGAGUAGAAAGCAUGAGGAGUUGUAGCUUGAGUCUAAGGACAAAGAUGCACUUAUUGAGCUUCUUGAAGAUCGGGUAAUGAAGAGACAGAGAGAACUAGAGGGUCCAUCUUCCUCUAGUAUGUCUCAGCCUUCCAUCGCUUGGAAGAAGAUUGUUGAUCAACUUGUCCUUGAGAAGGCUCAGAUGAAGACUUCUUUUGAAUCCGAGAUUCGACGCAUUCGAAGGAAGUAAGCACCUACAGUUAGAUCUUCUAAUGUUGUUAUUAGGGAUCCUUAGAAUGACUAGUCUCCUUUUCUCUUGUAUUUUGUACUUUUGGAUUCUGAAAUUGUACUCAGUGUAAUCCUUCCAAUUAUAUAAAUAAAAGAGAUUUUUAUGGUCAAUCAAAUUGUUGCAAUCGUUUUUAUCAUAUAUAUUUGAAAAUAAUAUAGUAAGUUCCUUGGAAAAUAAAAACAAUCAAGCAUUGCAUUUCAUGCAUCAUUUGCAUACAGGUUUCUCUUCCGCCAGAUGUCUUAUUGGUAUUUCUUAUGUGCUUCAGCCAAGCUGACUCAUCGAUACAAUACUCGCGCAAAUCACUCAAGGAUCAUGGAACAUCUGGAGCAAGAGAACAGAGAUUUGAAGGACGAGAUCGCCCGCUUGACUGCCAUGAUGGAGUCAGUGUUAGCCGCUCAUAGCCAAUCUUCUCCAACACCUGCAACUCCUCCUCCUCAGAGGACUGUUAUUUCCGAGGUUGCUACCUCUAUCAUUCCUGCUACUGCUGCUCACUUUGCACCGGCCAUGUGUCGCAUCUCGAAAAAUACGAUUCCUCGCGAUGGUCGCGGAAAAAAUUAAUGUUCGAAUAGAGUUGCCAUCGAACUUAAUUUAUCCCAAUGAAGGGAUAGUAAAAUAUCGAUAAAACCUUUAGGAAAUGGAAUAAUGGUCGUCGCAACCAUAUUCGAGUUCGGGAGUGGAUUACGUAAGGGGAAGGUAUUAGCACCCCUUACGUCCGUUGUACUCAACGGGAACCUUUAAACCUUUAGGAAAUGGAAUAAUGGUCGUCGCAACCAUAUUCGAGUUCGGGAGUGGAUUACGUAAGGGGAAGGUAUUAGCACCCCUUACGUCCGUUGUACUCAACGGGAACCUUUUAGUUCUAAUGUGCGUUUCAUGUGUUAAUUUAUGUUUGUUUGUUAUUUUUGGGUUAUACAAUUGUAAAAAAUAGAAAUGGACGAGAACCUCAGAAAGGGAAAGGGGAGGUUUUUUAUUAGUGUGCUCGCGAAGGUACAACAAUCUCCUACCUACGUAUCCUUAUGGUAUAAUAAGGAAAUCAGAGCAUUCGUAGUUCGGGGAACUACGAUUGGUUGGUGUUUUUUAAUGAACAACUGUUUAGACUGCGUUUCUAAAGGCUAAACGUUGGCUUGUCUAGUCUCGGCGGAGGCUUAAGCACUAGUUUGCUGUGCGCAUUAGAAAGGAUUAACAAUGUUCUUUCUGAAAAUAGUUUUGGUCACAUGGGGGUGACAAGUUGGACUAAUAUGUUGGAUGUUUUGAUUGGUUGAGAUGUUUUUGGUUGAAUGACGAUUACUCUGAUAGUUGAGUAAGACAACUCGUAUCCUAACAGUCGGGAAAGGGAAUAGAAGACUCUAGACCACUUUCUUUUUCAUCCUUAAUUAUAGAAAGGAUUUGAUAAUAAUUAGGGUGUUUUGAGUGGAUGACGAAUACUCGGAUAAUCGAGUAAGACAACUCGUAUCCUAAUAAUCGGGAAAGGGAAUAGAAGACUCUAGACCGCUUUCUGUUUCAUUCUUAAUUAUAAAAAGGAUUUGAUAAUUGUAAGACCCCAAUUUUGACCCUAAGAUCCCUCAUGGCAUCAUUACAUUGCAUUUACAUUGCCUCAAGGAUCAUGAGCGUCUUGGUUCCCUUUGCCUUUGGGUGGGAUCUCUUGAGAUGUGGUUUGAGAUCACCAAGCAUGCUUGAAUUGUAUAUUAUUGCUUUCCUCAUUUCUUUUAUUAACUCAAAAGCACAAAAAUAUGUCACUAACAUCUUUUAUUUGUAGCUUGAGCAGUCACAAGGUCUAAAGCUUCUAGGAGAUCCUUUGUGCAAUGAUAUGGUCAAGAGAAGAUGAAAGCAAGCAUGGUAAUGGUUCCGAAAGCUCUCAUCCAUCAAAUAUGCCUCCCAAGUAUCUCAAUUCAUCAUUUUGAUCAAAGCAAGUCAAAGGGUUUGAGGUUUGUUUCCCAAGGAAACCUUAAUUCAUAUAUUCAUCAACUGUGCCUUGCUCUUGAAGAAACCUCAACCCAUGGUCAAAAAAAAAUCAAGGGAAGUUCUUUAAUUCAUCAUUUCAUGCAUUUUUGAACUUAUUUGAGUGUCCUCAAUCAUAAGUUCAUCAAGAUAUAAGUUUUGGACUUGAGAAGUUGAUCAGUCAAUUCAUCUGACCAUUUUGAAAUGCAUUGAGACCUAACUUUUUAUGUGUUAGUCCAAUGGAGAUGACCCCAAGAGAAAUAUUGUUAUUAAGGACAAUAUGAACAACUUUCAUGUUCAUCAAAAUUUAAUUUGAAGCUUGGAAGGUCAUCAUCCAUUCCAAGACAUUAUAGGUCAUUUUGACUGAAACCCUAAUUUUGGGUCAACUUCCCAAGGACCUAAGUCCUUCAUUUUUCAUGAUUUGGAGGUGGGAUCAAAUGAAUUGGAAAGCUUAAUGUUUGUAAUUCAAAUGUUAUGUUGAGAAAAAUUACAAAAUCCCAAAAGAAAUACAUGUGAUAAUGCAAAACAUUAUAGGUCACUUUGGGCCAACUGCAUUGAAAUGUGAAAAAGUCCAACUUCAAGUGCCCAUAACUUCAUCAAAAAUCCAAAUGAUGCAAAAUUUAAGUCCAAAUUUAUUUUCUUGAAAAUAUCUACAACUUUCAUGUUGAAGAUUGUAUUAUUUGGAGCUUGCAUCAUUGAGACAGAGGGGCUUGAACAUUGGCCAAUUUUGGAAAUUUCACAUAUGCAUGUUUUGCACCUUACACUUCAAGCUUAAUUUUCAUUAAUUUCCAAGGCCCAAUUGGAUUUUUGAUCAACAUAGCAUUUGUUCCUUAUGCAAUAAGCUUUCCAACCAUUACCCAUAAGCCUAUGUUUCAAUUUUGGAAGUAUUAUUUUCGAAGAGGAGAACUUUUUAGUGCAUUUUUGGAAACUUGAUUCAAUUGCCAUGCAUGAGCUCACACAACCUAAUUUGCACGUCCAUUUCAUUCAUUUAUGAUAUAAGCCUGCAAUUCCAAUCAGAAUUGGGCCCUCCAUGCGCCUGUACAGGCCCAUGCAUGAAGGCCCUCUUCUCCGAUGCACACUUUGUUCAUGCAUAUCAGUUGGCUUUGGCUAUAAAUACAUGGCAUGUGAGCUCUUAUUUCUUAACCUGAAGGCACCUGAACCUCUGCUGAACUCAAAACCUACCCUCACCAAAGGAACUUUUCUCUUUCUUUCAAAAAUAUCAGAUCUGAAAUUCAAUUGCAUCGAUUGAUUUUUAAGAUCCAUAGUUCCUAGACCUCUUCAGCUUGAUCCAUAGAAGCUUCUGUUUGCAAAAGAACUCAAAGAUAGUGACUCAAUUCAGCUCAAUUCCAAGGUUUUGCUCAACUGCAUUUUGCUUCAAAACAGCUCAUAUAUUGUUCCAUUUGCCUUGAUUUUGUGUGAUUUGAAGUCCUCUGCAUAGAGGCAUCAUUAUUGUGUUCUUAAUUUUUGAAAUCAAGCAAGUUCAGUUGAACACCACCAAAGUUCCAUCUCUGAUUUCUCUCUCAAUAGGGAUCUAGAGUGGAAUUGAGUAAUAGAGGCAUCAUUAUUGUGUUCUUAAUUUUUGAAAUCAAGCAAGUUCAGUUGAACACCACCAAAGUUCCAUCUCUGAUUUCUCUCUCAAUAGGGAUCUAGAGUGGAAUUGAGUGGCAUAGGAGUGACGUACAUCACUCCACCUUUCAUUUGGUACCUGGAUCGUGCGUUUUGGUGCACAUUUGUUCUUCUACAAAUUUGAGCUCUCACCGGAGCUAUCCGGAGAAGACGGUGGCGCUGACCCCUGUCUGGUCUCCAGAUCCAAUCGUGGUCGUCCAUUUUCAUUUCCAGAUUAGAUUUAGGUUGUCCGAUGUUAUGACCAUUUUUAAUUGUUUGUGUGGUUGCAUUGACUCACGUGUAUUAUGGAAGCGUGCUCAGAUCCGUCUGAUCUGCCAGGUCAAUUAAUGAACUGGAUCCAACGCCUCUCCUUUUUUCUUAUUUUUAAUUUCUGAUUUCUAUUUUCUUUUAUUUCUUUUAAUUCCAUUUUAUUUCUAAAAUCCAUAUCUCUUUCAUUAUUGGUCCAAAAAUUAUGGGACCAAUUGCAUUAUUUCUCUUUUAAUUUCUAGUUUCUAAAAAUGAUUUUUAAUAUUUUUUAUUUUGUCAUUUGCUAUUUUUUAAUAAUUUUCUCUUUUCUGGUUAUUUUUAAUUCAUUUUAAAUAGUUUUUCAGAUCCAAAAAAUACCAAAAUAUUUUCUCAACCUCUUUGAACGAUGAUAGAUCUAUGAAAAAUAUUUUCAUCAAUUUAUUAAUUGAUUUGAGAUUUAUUUGAGAUUUUAGUUCAAUUAGGUUAUUUUUAUGCAUUUUUAAUUGAUCAAAAAUAGUUUCUGACUUUUAUAAAUGUUGAAAUUUUUUGUCAAACUUUUUUUGACCUUGUUGAACUUAGGAUAAUUCACUUGGACUUUUCAAAGUUGAUUUGAAGUGAGUUUGAAGUUUGACCUUUCUUUAAUAUUUUAAUUCAAGUUUUAUUUUAAAUAUUAAAAAAUGCCAAAAAUAUUUUGUUUAUUUCUUGACUUCUAAUCUUCAUUUUGCUUCUGUUUUCUAUUGUUUGACCUUGAUCUUCUCUAUCUUUGGUCAUAGCUUGUUGAUUAUCUCAUUCCAUUUCAUUUAAUGCACUUUAAUUCUUCAUGUCUAUUCUUNAGAUUGUUGGCGAACACUUGCCUACGUACCUCUUAAACAAGAUUAGGAUCAAAACCGUCUGUAGUUGGCGUAAAAAUUCAAAAUUGAGUUGGUGAAUUGAUUUGGUCCGAAAGCACUUAAAGGUACUUUUUGUGUUGAUCCAAGGGAGAAAAACUCAAACCUAAAACACAACCCACCAUGUGCAGGAUUAGCUUAACAUGUUAUGAGGGGGUUUAACCCUAUACGAUAAGCAUGGAAGACACAUUGUCCAUCACUAAGGAUAUAGGUGAGUAUUACGAGUCCUAACCUCAAAGCAUAACUCAAGAGCCUGAAUACGCUAAAGGUUUAAAAGAUUUAAUUAAGAAAGUGGCCAUUGAAACCACAAAAGUAUUUGAAUGAUGGUAUUUACGCAAAUGAAUAAGAUAUUUGACAAAAUAUGGUCAAAGGUGAUUUAGAAGUUCAAUUCAAAAAUAAGUGUUAUGAAAAAAGUUUGGGAAAAUCAAAAAAAGCCAUAAGGCUUAGGUUUCCUAAAUGUUGAAAACAAGGUUAAAUGUUGCAAACAAAAGUUUUGGUUUGGGUUUAGAAGGGAGAAGAAGAAUGAAUGGCAAAGUCCUAAUCAUACAUGAAGAGACAAGGGAUAAGAAAACAAGACCAACAAAUGGAGUUCCCUCUCUUUGACGAUCGAUAUUGAUGAAAUCAAGUAGCUCCCAUCUUGGAAUAUGCAAGCAAAAAUUUAAUAGUCGCUCAAGCAAUCAACACAUCAAACAAGCUCCUUAGGCGAAUCCUCAAUGUAUCUGGUUGUAUCUUUCACUUGGAUGAACAUUGGCAAUGGUUCCUUUUAACUCUUGAGCUCUCAUAGGAUCCCCUAGCACAAAAAGCACACACAUCAAAAAGUUCUAUGAAAGUAAAUCAAGAAUGGAACAAGAGUGUUGAGUUUGGGUCCUUCUAGUCCAUCUCAACAUUAAAGGUCCUUGUUACUCCAAUUUGCCAUAGGAAAGUUCUAGAAACUAAGUCGCAUUUGUCCAUAUUCUUUGCAUUUGGUCCACAAACAAUCAAAACAAAAACACAAGCACAAUUAAUUAUACUACACAAUUACGUGUGCUCAAAGUGAGCAAGAAGCAAUUGCAUUAAACAUACAUGUGCUAAAUGAGCAGAAGGGAAAAGAAAUGAUAUAUGUAAGAUAUAGUUAAAUUGAUAAAGUAAGUGCAAGAGUAAAUGUUAAUGGUUAAUUGUUAGUGUUAGUAGUUCAGGUGUCAUAGGCAUUUAAGCGCUAUGUUAAGCAAAUCGUAAUGGAGUUAUUGUGAAGUCACACUAUCUGAGGCGGUUAAUAGUAUAUUUAUGGCAACACAACAAGGUUAGAGGUCUUGAUUGUGAAUCAACACUCUACAACUUGCCAUGGCGCAGAAAGAAGAUGAGAAUGAUCUUGUUUGGUUUAGGUCCUUUUGCAUGUUUUAGAAAGCAAUCUUCCGUUAAUGGAAAGCCAUUCACUUUGAUCAUGUGAUCAAGUGAUUAGAUUUGAAUUCAAGGAAGAUUAAAACCUCCCUAUCAAUGCUAACCAUCGAACCUUUAACUCAUUGAUAAAAAAAGAAAAGAAGAAGAGAAGAAGAUGAAGAAAGUGAAAGAUAGCAUGAAGAAUUAAAGUGCAGCUUAAAUGAUCUCUUGUAUGAUUAGGACUUUAGCCAUUCUUCUUCUUCCCUCCACUCUAACCCAAACCAAAACUUUUGUGCAAACAUUUAACACUUGUUUUCAAACAUUAGAAACCUAAGCCUUAUGCUUUUGAUUUCCAAACUUUCUUUUCAUAACACUUAUUUUGAAUUGAACUUCUAAAUCAACUUUGACCAUAUUUUGUAAAUACUUUUCAUUGGUAAAUACCAUUCAUUCAAAUACUUUUGUGGUUUCAAUGGCCACUUUCUUAAUUAAAUCUUUUAUAACCUUUAGCUAUUAGGUUUGAGUUAUGCUUGAGGUAGAUGUAAUACUCACCUAUAUCCUUAGUGAUGGACAAUGAGUCUUCCAUGCUUAUUAUAGGGUUAACCCCUCACUAACAUGUUGAAGCUAUCCUCACAUGGUGGGUUUGUGGUUUUAGGUUGAGUUUUCUCCCUUGGAUAACAAAAGACCUUAAGGCUUUUGGACCAAUCAAUUCACCAACUCAUUUUUUGAAAUUUUUACCCCAAACUACGAGGUUUUGAUCCUAAUCUUUUUUAAGAUGGUACGUAGGCAAUGGGUUUAUCCAUCCAAACACAAAAAUGUAAAUAACUUGCAUAUUCUCUUCUCAUCUCUUCAAUCAUGUUUGCACAAACAAAUUUUCACAAAAUACCAACCUUACAACAAGUGUGAAAAGGGCUCCCUAGGAGUACCUAGGAUGUUUUGGGUGCUUAAAACCUUCCCAUUGCAUAACCAACCCCCUUACCCCGAUCUCUGACAUUUUUACUAGUUUUUAAUUCGAUAAAAUUUUUAGGUUUUUAUUCGCUUUCUAACCAUUCCUUUGAAUAAAUAGAAGUGCGGUGGCGACUCGACUUGUAUGGUUUACCUUAGAUUUAGUCAAUAUCUCUAAUGGUAACGAAUACCCCACUACAAUAAUAAUUAAGGUGUUUUGAAUGGAUGACGAUUACUCGGAUAAUCGAGUAAGACAACUCGUAUCCUAAUGGUCGGAAAAGGGAAUAGAAAACUCUAGACCACUUUCUCUUUCAUCUGAGUGGUUAUGAAAAUAAGUUUACGUAUGGUUGAUGUAUUUUUAGAAUAGACGACAAGUACUUGAAUGGUUGAGUAAGACAACUCAUAUCCAAGCAUUUGAGGAGAGGAAUCUAAGGCUCAAGACCAUCUCCCUUUUCGUAUAGUUUGUUAUGAAAAUGAUUUGAUUAAGUUGUAUGUUUGUGGAAAAAUGACAAUUGCUCGACUGGCCGAGUAAGAGAACUCGUAUUCAAGCAAUUGAGGAGAAAAGUUGAAAACUCAAAGUCAUCUCCCUUUUCAUUUCUUAUUAUGAAAAUAAUUUGAUUUAGUCGGGUUUGGAAGUUUGUAGAGGAACGACAAUUAUUUGACUAACCAAGUAAGAGAACUCGUAUUCAAAUAAUCGAGGAGAAAAAUUGAAGACUCAAAGUCAUCUCCCUUUUCCUUUCUUAUUAUAAAAGAGUUUGAUUUAUUUGUUCUUAAGUGGGUGGAAGUGACGACUAUUUGACUAACCGAAUAAGAGAACUCGUAUUCAAAUAAUCGAGGAGAGGAAUUGAAAACUCAAAGCCACCCCCCUUUUCAUUUCCAAAUGAAAUGUUGUUUGAUUGUGAUUGGAUACGUUCUUUUAAUUUUUAAUGAAAAUACUCGACAUUGGAUUGAGGUUUUGAUUUUGUGUUUAUGAAUGAAAUGAAUUUUAUUUUAGUGUAUUAUUCUUCUACUCGAUUAAUUAAUAACUGGAUAGGUCUCAUUGUAAGAAAGCCCAAGAGUAAGCUAUGUGAGGUUGAUGGCGAUACUUUUACAAGUAAUCGACUUACAAAGGCGUUUUGAAAAUGGGCUCGACUUUGAAUCGAGAAGUAUGUGUUUUAUUUUUUUGAAAUUGGCUCGAAUGAUUUUAAAUUGGUGAUAACGACAUAAUCUCGUCAUAAUUAUAACAUGUCAUCCAUAUGCACUCGAGACUCGGUAUAAAUAAAUAAAUACAAAAUAAUCAUGCACAUACACUCCACAAAAAUCAACAAUUAUCUAAAUUAUAAGUGAUAUUAAUAAUAAUAUAAUUAAUUAAUUAAAUAUUUAGUAGAUUAUUUUGAUUAAAUAAUAAGUAAUUAAAAAAAUGAUGAUAUAACCAAAUAAUUGCAUAUUUAUCAUUAAAUAUUAAUAAUAGUAAUAACAAUAUAAUUGUGUAUUUACUAUUAAGUACUAAUAAUAAUAAUGAUAAUAAUAAUAAUAAUAUAUAAUUAUAACUUUGAAAGAAAGUAAAUAAAAUAAAAUAAAUGAAAUUAAAGUAAAAAAAUAUUUAAAUUUUGUAAAAUAAUUAAACAACUAUCAUUAGGAAUUAAACUAUUAUAUAUAUAUAUAUAUAUAUAUAUAUAUAUAUAUAUAUAUAUAUAUAUUAUAAGUAUAUAUGUAAAAAAUAUAAAUAAAAAAGAAAGAAUAAGUCAAAAAAUAAAGAAAAUGGGCUAGUGGUGGUGAAAAAUUAAUAAAAUAAUUUAAUCAAAUUAAAUCAAAGAUACCGAUGAAUUAAUUUAAAUAAAAUAGGGUCUACUUAGGAUAUUUAAGUAAUUUAGAUUAACAAAAAUAAUUCAGGAUAAUGAGUCAUUAAAUUAAAAAAAUUAGUAAAUUGAAUUGUUAGUUAACUAAUUGAAGCUAAUUGUUAGCUAACAUGAUUAUCUUUUAAAUCCUCCACACAGUAAAACAGAAGAAAAAGAAAUGGGCUAAAACCGAAUUUAAUGAAAAAUAGGAAUAAACAAAUGUGCUUUUUUUGACUGAACAUAUGCUAUAUUCUAAUAUGCAAUGUCACCUAGUAUUCAAAGUUAAUUUAUUGUUUUUUAUUAAUGAUGCAUUGAAUAAAAUAACAAAUAGGGGUGGCUGUCAGCAUAGCCCACACGGUAUCCCCAAGAAAAAUCAAUUACUCACCAUAAGAACCUUCCAUAUACUAACAUAUGACACCUAAUGAUGUUUAAAGAGAAAUAAACAAUAAUAAAUGAAAAUUAAAGUAAUGCUUGGAUAUUUUAAAAAACGUAAGGACGAAAAACGUUCCUUCACAAAACCAAUGCACCUCUUUCUUAAUCUAACACCCUUUCCUCCUAUCCAUUUCUUCUCUCCAAAAGGGUUUAUGAAAAAAAAGUUCAGUUCACCAUCAAGUUUAUCGCACAACAAAAAUAUUCAAACACAAAGAUCUACCUCAAACGAUACAAAACCCCAAAUCUCAAAAUUAGCAACGAAAUUUUGCAAACAAAAGUUUAUCGCACAACAAAAAUAUUCAAACACAAAGAUCUACCUCAAACGAUACAAAACCCCAAAUCUCAAAAUUAGCAACGAAAUUUUGCAAACAACCUCCAAAAGACCCAAAUCGUGACUUUACAAAAAAAAAACUAAAAAUUGAAACAAAUCGAACCAUCAUCAUCAAUAAAUUCAAGCAAUCUAAAGGAGGCUCCUACUCAGUUAAUCACGACAAACAUGCAGGCACAAUCAAUUUGGAUCCAAACAUGAAGAAAUUUACCUGACCGAAGCUAGUUCAACGAAGUUCUCUCCGGCAACCCUCAGAUAACUCUAUUUCCUCUUCUUUUCGGUUUUACGAUGGCCUCCUCCUUCUGUUUUGAUGUUGUGUUAUCCUUUAAUGUUAGGGUUUUUUGUGUUUUUUACAAAAUAUUUUUUGAUUUGUUCUGCUCGGAUCCUCAAAAACGUGUGUUCUGUUUCUUUUGAGUUAACAAAGAAAAGAUUACUUUGACAAUUUCUUCUGGAUUUUAUUAAAACGUGUUACUGUUAAUUAGUUUUGUGGUUUAUAUACAUGAAUGUUGGUUUAUGUGAUAUAACUUGUUGGAUCCUAUUUCCAGAUUUUGUGGUAUGAUUAAUCUAUGGAUUUAAAGUUGUUUAUUUGGAUAAUGCAGUGUGUUUCUGAGCGCUUCCUUUGAUUCAUUGUGUAACAUAUUAAUUUGCUCUUUCUAUUAAUUAUUUUCCAGGUUUUUAAGUGCUUAUUUGAUAAGAUGUUUUUAAUUUUGAAUUGGUUUUGCAGGUUAAGUGAUAUUGAUGCUGAUUGAUUGAAAAAGGGGCGCUGUUAUUCAACAGGUUUUGGAAAAGUUCUGAAGAGUUGCUUUUGAAUUGGGAACUUCCAAAAGAGCUUUUGGAAAAGUCUGUGAAAUUUGCUUCAAACUGCUGUGUUUACAGCUUAUUCCAAUUUUUUUAAUAAAAUUAUUUCUGAUGUAACAGAGACUUUUUGGAUUAUGAACUUAGGGACUGCUUGUAACAUGUACAAAUUUAAUUUGGAAUUUCUCUUUUUGGACAAUUAUGUAAUUGUUUUGGAUUAUUAGGAAUUUGGGAUUAGUUAGGAUAUAUUAAACUGUAAGAAAAAUUGGGUUAGACGUGUAACCCUUUGGAUCAUUUGCAAAAUUUACAUAAUUUUAAUUUAAGUUUUUUUGUUAUUUAUGUGGAUACUUUUGGGUUAUUAUGUAACAUUUGGAUUAAAUAGGAAUAUGAUUUGGGAAUAUUAUUUGUGUAAUUAGUCUCUCUUUCUUUUUUUUUUAAAGAAAAAUUAAACUUUGUCUUAAC